RNAcentral lists this ribosomal RNA (253 nucleotides) under uncultured bacterium. RNAcentral's name for it is "partial 16S ribosomal RNA". It matches the Rfam family "Bacterial small subunit ribosomal RNA", at positions 524 to 776 of the family's 1533-position model. The record is from RNAcentral.
UACGUAGGGUGCGAGCGUUGUCCGGAAUUACUGGGCGUAAAGAGCUCGUAGGCGGUUCGUCGCGUCGGCUGUGAAAUCCCGAGGCUCAACCUCGGGUCUGCAGUCGAUACGGGCGGACUGGAGUUCGGCAGGGGAGACUGGAAUUCCUGGUGUAGCGGUGAAAUGCGCAGAUAUCAGGAGGAGCACCGGUGGCGAAGGCGGGUCUCUGGGCCGAUACUGACGCUGAGGAGCGAAAGCGUGGGGAGCGAACAGG